UUGACAAUCUUGGGAAUGAAGUCUUCUACUUAUCCUUAGACCAGGUAAAACAAAGGCAGCAGGAGUGCAAACUUCCCCACCCCGCUAAAAUGCCUCAACCUUUUUCUAAAGGGGCUACCAGAAAUGCACUGUGCAGUACAGGGUAAUAUGAACACCAUGUUCAUGCAAUCUUAGGUCAUUCUCUUGAGUCU
This 191-nucleotide small RNA is filed under the name Chelonoidis abingdonii (Abingdon island giant tortoise). RNAcentral's name for it is "TUC338 (ENSCABG00000000479.1)". The record is from RNAcentral. Lineage: Eukaryota; Metazoa; Chordata; Testudines; Testudinidae.